Molecule: ribosomal RNA, 253 nt
Filed under: uncultured bacterium
Lineage: Bacteria
Description: partial 16S ribosomal RNA
Rfam family: Bacterial small subunit ribosomal RNA
Source: RNAcentral
UACAGAGGUCUCAAGCGUUGUUCGGAUUCAUUGGGCGUAAAGGGUGCGUAGGCGGCGCGGUAAGUCGGGUGUGAAAUCUCGGAGCUUAACUCCGAAACUGCAUUCGAUACUGCUCGGCUAGAGUCCCGGAGAGGAUGGUGGAACUCUCGGUGUAGAGGUGAAAUUCGUAGAUAUCGAGAAGAACAUCGGUGGCGAAGGCGGCCAUCUGGACGGUGACUGACGCUGAGACGCGAAAGCGUGGGGAGCGAACAGG